AGCCAUGAAGGUGGAGACCAGGAUGAACACGACGAAGUACACCCAAGCGAAAGGGUGCUGCUCCAUGACGGGCUUCACGAUGCCGCCUGACCAGUCGUCGAAGGUCAUGACCUGGAAGAGCGUGUAGGCGGUCUGCCCGAGCCCACCGAAGAGGUCAGGAUGGGUGGGACCGUAGAGCUUCGCCCCCAUGACCGAGAACACGUAGAAGAUCAGGCACAGGAGCAGGAGGAUCGAGCCCAUGCCGGGGAGAGCGGUGAUCAGCCCUCCGACGAUCCGCCUCAGCGAUGGUAAGAUCGUGAUGAGGCGCAGCACCCGCAGGAUGCGCAGCGCCAGCAGCACCGAGAGCGAGUCCGUCACCGGCACCAGCGCCACGCUGACCACAGCGAGAUCGAAGAGGCUCCAGGGAUCGCGGAAGAAGCGCUCCCGGUACACGGCGAUGCGUGCUGCGAGUUCGGCGACGAAGACCGCAAGGAUCGCCU
This 479-nucleotide unclassified non-coding RNA is filed under the name plant metagenome. Its description in RNAcentral is "partial contains 5.8S ribosomal RNA, internal transcribed spacer 2, and large subunit ribosomal RNA". The record is from RNAcentral.